UGUGACACAUGAACAGUGAGUCGUGACUGCCUCAACAUCAUGCUUUGAGGGCUUGGGGCUCCCGCCCCCCAGUGUUAACCUGAAACUUUUGACAUAGCAAGUAAUAAUAGCAAUCCUUUUUGAAUAUGGGCUACUGAAAUCCCUAAAAGAAUCACCACUGUGAUGGAGCCUAUUAUCCGUAUGUCAUUGGUUGGAUCCACCAUCAUUGAAUUGCUCUCCUGGAACAACAACAAAAGUCGCCAAAAUGAUGCCUACAGACAUAAAAAUUGGUCAAUACAAUUCUAAGCCGCUAAUAUCACUGGAGAGUAAAUGUUCAUCCUUCCAGGUGGUUGGUUGCCAGUGUUACAGAAAGAUGUGUGGGGUCACAGGCACUGAAAUCACCCUGGCUCUAGCCAGAAUGCUCUCGCCUGGGUCUGUUAGGUAUGCUCCCCCACAUGAAAUGGAUGCUGCAUAAUUGUUGUUGGAAGGCUCUCUCAUUCCAGAGAUAAUCAGAACAGGAGUCUUCUAAAGGAGGCUGUGAUCUCUCUGGCCACGCCCUGGGAGAAGGAAGGACAUUCAGAAAUGGAAACAAGGCAUUGGAGGCUGCCUUUCUUGAUGUUCCAUGCUAUAUCUUGGCUCUAUAAGAAGUCUCCAGGCUCUUUUACAGUUUGAAGUGCAAUAGGAAGAGACUAACUGUAGGCAUGAGAUGCAAACUUGGACCAUAUUGCUUCAGUCCCUAAAGACUCUUCAAGUUUGGUGUUGUGAGAAACAGUUGCACUAAAUUCUUCAAAUGUAUGGCAGGGAUUCUGUGGUGACCAUCACCUCUGCCUCACCAUGUGGCCUCAGUUCUUUGCACCCCAACAGAUGAGGAAAUGAAACUCAUGGAGUAUAUAAAUGACUUGCUUCAGGUCAUACCUGUUUCAUCAUAUCCUUCUUCCAUGCUUGAUGUUUAUUAGAAACUAUCUUGCCCCAGCCAAAGUCUCCGAGUCAGAGAAGACCAAUUCAAUGGCAUUUGUGGUUUAUUCUAUCAUUUGCUUUUGGGGAAAGGACAGCCCAAACUCAUGGCCCUGGAACGACUACCCAGGGGCUGUAGCUACAGUGACUCACGGCUACAGCUUCCUUCUGGCUUUGUUCCCAGAGUCUCCUCUUGAAAAUGUAUUCAGGUUUCUUCUCCAAACUAUCCCCACAACAAAGAGAAACUACUUGUAUUUGCUUCUUUUCUUACCCAAUAAAGGGAAUCCAAAUGGGACCCAGAAGGUGACUUAAUCAACUCAUUUAGCUUUAAUUUCACAGCAAAGGCCAGUAAAACUGAGUAAGGGUGGUAAUAAGUUUCUAUGACUCACUAAAGUCUACUCCAUGAGAACUAAACAACAAACAAACCCUUGUUCAAAGGAAAAUCCACUAGACACCCAUUUAAAGUAGGGUAUGACUACUUAAAUAAAUAGGUCCUUGUUAAAACAAUACUGAUGUCUGA
Molecule: long non-coding RNA, 1453 nt
Organism: Canis lupus familiaris (dog)
Lineage: Eukaryota; Metazoa; Chordata; Mammalia; Carnivora; Canidae
Exons: 5
Source: RefSeq, a predicted model, not a curated record